GACAAGACUAGUCAUACUGACCCAAUACGCACCUCAUAGAUCCUUUGAGGGCUGUCAAGUACCAGAUUAACAAUUGUUUCUUCCCCGGAAGGUAUCAGAAUCAGAGGUUCCUGCUACUCAUUUUUCUUUCCAUGCCCCUUGGCAAACGUUAUCCUACCUGACCGUUUGAUCUCUUCUUCUUUUUUGUUUUCGGUUCAGGCGUUUCUUG
Molecule: long non-coding RNA, 208 nt
Filed under: Lathyrus oleraceus (garden pea)
Lineage: Eukaryota; Viridiplantae; Streptophyta; Magnoliopsida; Fabales; Fabaceae
Description: Pisum sativum (pea) long non-coding RNA (PSAT_LNC019400)
Source: RNAcentral